ACUCAAAGGAAUUGACGGGGACUUGCACAAGCAGAGGAUUAUGUGGUUCAAUUCGAUGACAAACGAAAAACCUUACCAAGAUUAGACAUCUAACUGAAUCUCCGGAGAAACUCGGAGAGUCCCACAAGGACAGUUAGACAGGUGUUGCAUGGCCGUCGUCAGUUCGUGAUUUGAGUUGUUCCCUUCAGUGGGGUAACGAACGCAACCCUCGUUGCCUGUUAUACGUGUCAGGCGAGACUGCCUCUUACCAGAGGAGGAAGGUGAGGAUGACGCCAGGUCAGCAUGACCCUAGAUAUCUUGGGCUACACACAUAAUACAAUCGCCGAUACAACGGGUCGCGACGCAGUAAUGCUGAGCUAAUCCUAAUAAAGUCGGCGCCAGUUCGGAUUGGGGGCUGAAACUCGACCCCAUGAAGUUGGAUUUGCUAGUAAUCGCGGGUCAGCUAUACCGCGGUGAAUACGUUCUCAAGUCUUGUACACACCGCCCGU
Molecule: ribosomal RNA, 488 nt
Filed under: uncultured bacterium
Lineage: Bacteria
Description: partial 16S ribosomal RNA
Rfam family: Bacterial small subunit ribosomal RNA
Source: RNAcentral